UACGUAGGGGCCGAGCGUUGUCCGGAGUUACUGGGCGUAAAGCGCGCGCAGGCGGCUCGUCAAGCCUGACGUGAAAGCCCCCGGCUCAACCGGGGAGGGUCGUCGGGGACUGGCGGGCUUGAGGUCGGCAGGGGCUGGUGGAAUUCCCGGUGUAGUGGUGAAAUGCGUAGAGAUCGGGAGGAACACCCGUGGCGAAGGCGGCCAGCUGGGCCGGACCUGACGCUGAGGCGCGAAGGCGUGGGGAGCGAACGGG
Molecule: ribosomal RNA, 253 nt
Filed under: uncultured bacterium
Lineage: Bacteria
Also listed under: 1 other name
Description: partial 16S ribosomal RNA
Rfam family: Bacterial small subunit ribosomal RNA
Source: RNAcentral